GACGAACGCUGGCGGCGUGCUUAACACAUGCAAGUCGAACGGAAAGGCCCUGCUUUUGUGGGGUGCUCGAGUGGCGAACGGGUGAGUAACACGUGAGUAACCUGCCCUUGACUUUGGGAUAACUUCAGGAAACUGGGGCUAAUACCGGAUAGGAGCUCCUGCUGCAUGGUGUGGGUUGGAAAGUUUCGGCGGUUGGGGAUGGACUCGCGGCUUAUCAGCUUGUUGGUGGGGUAGUGGCUUACCAAGGCUUUGACGGGUAGCCGGCCUGAGAGGGUGACCGGCAACAUUGGGACUGAGAUACGGACCAGAAUCCAACGGGAGGCAGCAGUGGGGAAUAUUGCACAAUGGGAGGAAGCCUGAUGAAGAAACGCAGCGUGCGGGAUGACGGCCUUCGGGUUGUAAACCGAUUUAGCAUGUGACGAAGCGUGAGUGACGGUAAUGGGUAAAGAAGCACCGGCUAACUACGUG
RNAcentral lists this ribosomal RNA (468 nucleotides) under uncultured bacterium. RNAcentral describes it as "partial 16S ribosomal RNA". It matches the Rfam family "Bacterial small subunit ribosomal RNA", at positions 28 to 507 of the family's 1533-position model. The record is from RNAcentral.